Molecule: ribosomal RNA, 740 nt
Filed under: Lucilia sericata (common green bottle fly)
Lineage: Eukaryota; Metazoa; Arthropoda; Insecta; Diptera; Calliphoridae
Description: eukaryotic LSU rRNA
Rfam family: Eukaryotic large subunit ribosomal RNA
Source: RNAcentral
CUAACAAGGAUUUUCUUAGUAGCGGCGAGCGAAAAGAAAAUAGUUCAGCACUAAGUCACUUUGUCUUUAUGGCAAAUGUGAGAUGCAGUGUAUGGAAUGUCAAAUUUCUAGUAUGAGAAAUUAACGAUUUAAGUCCUUCUUAAAUGAGGCCAUUUACCCAAAGAGGGUGCCAGGCCCGUAUAACGUUAAUGAUUACUAGAUGGCAUUUCCAAAGAGUCGUGUUGCUUGAUAGUGCAGCACUAAGUGGGUGGUAAACUCCAUCUAAAACUAAAUAUAACCAUGAGACCGAUAGUAAACAAGUACCGUGAGGGAAAGUUGAAAAGAACUCUGAAUAGAGAGUUAAAUAGUACGUGAAACUGCUUAGAGGUUAAGCCCGAUGAACCUGAAUAUCCGUUAUGGAAAAUUCAUCAUUAUGAUUUUAAUAUUUAUAAUAUUAUAAUAAUGGUGUGCAUUUUUUCUAUAAAGGACAUUGUAAUCUAUUAACUUUACAUUAUUUAUCAUAAGAUCAUUAGAUUAUGUUUAUUCAAAUUAUUUUGCUUGCAAUUUAAUAUCGAAUAAAUUCUUUUGAUUUGAUAAAGCGUUGAUAGAUUUAUUAUAUACAGUGCUUAAAUAUUUAUAUUUUAUAAUAUCAUAUUAAUCAAUGAUUUUUAUGUUCAUUAUAUGCACUUGUAUGAUUAACAAUGCGAAAGAUUCAGGAUACCUUCGGGACCCGUCUUGAAACACGGACCAAGGAGUCUAAC